GACGAACGCUGGCGGCGUGCCUAAUACAUGCAAGUAGAACGCUGAAGAGAGGAGCUUGCUCUUCUUGGAUGAGUUGCGAACGGGUGAGUAACGCGUAGGUAACCUGCCUUGUAGCGGGGGAUAACUAUUGGAAACGAUAGCUAAUACCGCAUAACAAUGGAUGACACAUGUCAUUUAUUUGAAAGGGGCAAUUGCUCCACUACAAGAUGGACCUGCGUUGUAUUAGCUAGUAGGUGAGGUAAUGGCUCACCUAGGCGACGAUACAUAGCCGACCUGAGAGGGGGAUGGGAAAAGAGGGAACUGAGACACGGUCAGGACUCCGAGGGGAGGCAGAAGUGGGGAAGCUUCCGGAAUGGGCGAAAGCGUACCGGAGCAAGGACGGGUGAGUGAGGAAGGUCUUGGGAGCGUAAAACUGGGUGAGGAGGGAAGAACAAAGGGGGAAGGAACUAUGCACGUCGUGACGGUAGCUAAUCAGAAAGGCACGGCUAACUACGUG
Molecule: ribosomal RNA, 496 nt
Filed under: uncultured bacterium
Lineage: Bacteria
Description: partial 16S ribosomal RNA
Rfam family: Bacterial small subunit ribosomal RNA
Source: RNAcentral